GACGAACGCUGGCGGCGUGCUUAACACAUGCAAGUCGAACGGAAAGGCCCUGCUUUUGUGGUGUGCUCGAGUGGCGAAGGGGUGAGUAACACGAGUGCAACCUGCUCUAGUUUUUGGUAUAACUUCAGGAAACUGGGGCUAAUAUCGGAUAGGAUCCGCUGUUGCAUUGUGGGGGUUGGAAAUUCUCGGCGGUUGGGGUUGGACUCGCGGGUUAUCAGCUUGUUGGUGGGGUAGUGGCUUACCAAGGCUUGGGCGGGUCGCCGGCCUGAGAGGGUGGCCGGCCACAUUGGGACUGAGGUAGGGCCCAGACUCCAACGGGGGGCAGCGGUGGGAAGUAUGGCACAGUGGGCGGAAGCCUGUUGCGGCAACGCCGGGGGCGGAAUGCCGGCCUUCGGGUUGUAAACCGCUUUCGCCUGUGACGAAGCUUGUGUGACGGUAAUGGGUAAAGAAGCACCGGCUAACUACGUG
Molecule: ribosomal RNA, 468 nt
Filed under: uncultured bacterium
Lineage: Bacteria
Description: partial 16S ribosomal RNA
Rfam family: Bacterial small subunit ribosomal RNA
Source: RNAcentral